This 374-nucleotide ribosomal RNA is filed under the name uncultured prokaryote. Its description in RNAcentral is "bacterial SSU rRNA". It matches the Rfam family "Bacterial small subunit ribosomal RNA", at positions 524 to 896 of the family's 1533-position model. The record is from RNAcentral.
UACGGGGGGGGCAAGCGUUGUUCGGAAUUACUGGGCGUAAAGGGCGCGUAGGCGGUUUGUUAAGUUGGAUGUGAAAACUGUGGGCUCAACCCAUAGCCUGCAUCCAAUACUGACAGGCUAGAGUUCUGGAGGGGAUAGCGGAAUUCCUGGUGUAGCGGUGAAAUGCGUAGAUAUCAGGAGGAACACCGGUGGCGAAGGCGGCUAUCUGGACAGAGUCUGACGCUGAGGCGCGAAAGCUAGGGGAGCAAACAGGAUUAGAUACCCUGGUAGUCCUAGCCCUAAACGAUGGAUACUUGCUGUGACUGGGAUUGAAUCCAGUCGUGGCGAAGCUAACGCAUUAAGUAUCCCGCCUGGGGAGUACGGUCGCAAGGCUG